CAAUAGCGUAUAUUUAAGUUGCUGCAGUUAAAAAGCUCGUAGUUGGAUUUCGGGUGGGAAUGGCCGGUCCGCCGUUUCGGUGUGCACUUGCUACGCCCACCUUGCUGCCGGGGACGUGCUCUUGAGUUCACGCUCGGGACACGGAGUCGGCGAGGUUACUUUGAGUAAAUUAGAGUGUUCAAAGCAGGCCUACGCUCUGAAUACAUUAGCAUGGAAUAACACGAUAGGACUCUGGCCUAUCUUGUUGGUCUGUAGGACCGGAGUAAUGAUUAAGAGGGACAGUCGGGGGCAUUCGUAUUUCAUUGUCAUAGGUGAAAUUCUUGGAUUUAUGAAAGACGAACUACUGCGAAAGCAUUUGCCAAGGAUGUUUUCAUUAA
This 377-nucleotide ribosomal RNA is filed under the name uncultured eukaryote. Its description in RNAcentral is "partial 18S ribosomal RNA". It matches the Rfam family "Eukaryotic small subunit ribosomal RNA", at positions 592 to 976 of the family's 1831-position model. The record is from RNAcentral.